This 76-nucleotide transfer RNA is filed under the name Subdoligranulum variabile. RNAcentral describes it as "tRNA-Gly". It matches the Rfam family "tRNA". Rfam says of the family: Transfer RNA (tRNA) molecules are approximately 80 nucleotides in length. Their secondary structure includes four short double-helical elements and three loops (D, anti-codon, and T loops). RNAcentral also lists the same sequence under 21 other names. The record is from RNAcentral. Lineage: Bacteria; Bacillati; Bacillota; Clostridia; Eubacteriales; Oscillospiraceae.
GCGGGAUUAGCUCAUCCGGUAGAGUGACUGCUUCCCAAGCAGUAGGUGGCGAGUUCGAGACUCGUAUCCCGCUCCA